RNAcentral lists this ribosomal RNA (492 nucleotides) under uncultured bacterium. RNAcentral describes it as "partial 16S ribosomal RNA". It matches the Rfam family "Bacterial small subunit ribosomal RNA", at positions 29 to 507 of the family's 1533-position model. The record is from RNAcentral.
AGUGAACGCUGGCGGUAGGCCUAACACAUGCAAGUCGAACGGCAGCACAGUAAGAGCUUGCUCUUACGGGUGGCGAGUGGCGGACGGGUGAGGAAUACAUCGGAAUCUACUUUUUCGUGGGGGAUAACGUAGGGAAACUUACGCUAAUACCGCAUACGACCUACGGGUGAAAGCAGGGGAUCUUCGGACCUUGCGCGAUUGAAUGAGCCGAUGUCGGAUUAGCUAGAUGGCGGGGUAAAGGCCCACCAAGGCGACGAUCCGUAGCUGGUCUGAGAGGAUGAUCAGCCACACUGGAACUGAGACACGGUCCAGACUCCUACGGGAGGCAGCAGUGGGGAAUAUUGGACAAUGGGCGCAAGCCUGAUCCAGCCAUACCGCGUGGGUGAAGAAGGCCUUCGGGUUGUAAAGCCCUUUUGUUGGGAAAGAAAAGCAGCAGGUUAAUACCCCGCUGUUCUGACGGUACCCAAAGAAUAGGCACCGGCUAACUUCGUG